AGCUUUGCACAGUAGCAAUAUCAUAGCCAAUGAGGUUUAUCCGAAGUAUGAUUAUUGCUAAUUGAAAAGUUUUCCCAAUACCCCACCAUGACGACUUGCAAUAUAGUCAGCAUUGGCAAUUUUUGACAGUUCCUGUGGGGA
Molecule: small nuclear RNA, 141 nt
Organism: Lemur catta (Ring-tailed lemur)
Lineage: Eukaryota; Metazoa; Chordata; Mammalia; Primates; Lemuridae
Product: U4 spliceosomal RNA
Exons: 1
Source: RefSeq, a predicted model, not a curated record